UACGUAGGGGGCAAGCGUUGUCCGGAAUCAUUGGGCGUAAAGCGCGCGUAGGCGGCCCGGUAAGUCCGUUGUGAAAGUCAAAGGCUCAACCUUUGAACGCCGAUGGAUACUGUCAAGCUUGAGUCCGGAAGAGGCGAGUGGAAUUCCCGGUGUAGCGGUGAAAUGCGCAGAUAUCGGGAGGAACACCAAUGGCGAAGGCAGCUCGCUGGGACGUGACUGACGCUGAGACGCGAAAGCGUGGGGAGCAAACAGG
Molecule: ribosomal RNA, 253 nt
Filed under: uncultured bacterium
Lineage: Bacteria
Description: partial 16S ribosomal RNA
Rfam family: Bacterial small subunit ribosomal RNA
Source: RNAcentral